This 497-nucleotide ribosomal RNA is filed under the name uncultured bacterium. RNAcentral describes it as "partial 16S ribosomal RNA". It matches the Rfam family "Bacterial small subunit ribosomal RNA", at positions 28 to 507 of the family's 1533-position model. The record is from RNAcentral.
GAUGAACGCUGGCGGCGUGCCUAAUACAUGCAAGUCGAGCGAACAGACGAGGAGCUUGCUCCUCUGACGUUAGCGGCGGACGGGUGAGUAACACGUGGAUAACCUACCUAUAAGACUGGGAUAACUUCGGGAAACCGGAGCUAAUACCGGAUAAUAUAUUGAACCGCAUGGUUCAAUAGUGAAAGACGGUUUUGCUGUCACUUAUAGAUGGAUCCGCGCCGCAUUAGCUAGUUGGUAAGGUAACGGCUUACCAAGGCAACGAUGCGUAGCCGACCUGAGAGUGUGAUCGGCCACACUGGAACUGAGACACGGUCCAGACUCCUACGGGAGGCAGCAGUAGGGAAUCUUCCGCCAUGGGCGAAAGCCUGACGGAGCAACGACGCGUGAGUGAUGAAGGUCUUCGGAUCGUAAACCUCUGUUAUUAGGGAAGAACAAAUUUGUAAGUAACUAGGCACGUCUUGACGGUACCUAAUCAGAAAGCCACGGCUAACUACGUG